Molecule: ribosomal RNA, 1432 nt
Filed under: uncultured bacterium
Lineage: Bacteria
Description: partial 16S ribosomal RNA
Rfam family: Bacterial small subunit ribosomal RNA
Source: RNAcentral
GAUGAACGCUGGCGGCGUGCUUAACACAUGCAAGUCGAACGGGCUCAUAUUGAAACCUAGUGAAGUAUGAGUUAGUGGCGGACGGGUGAGUAACGCGUGGAAAACCUGCCGUAUACUGGGGGAUAACACUUAGAAAUAGGUGCUAAUACCGCAUAAGCGCACAGCUUCGCAUGAAGCGGUGUGAAAAACUCUGGUGGUAUACGAUGGUUCCGCGUCUGAUUAGCUAGUUGGUGGGGUAAUGGCCUACCAAGGCAACGAUCAGUAGCCGGCCUGAGAGGGUGAACGGCCACAUUGGGACUGAGACACGGCCCAAACUCCUACGGGAGGCAGCAGUGGGGAAUAUUGCACAAUGGGGGAAACCCUGAUGCAGCGACGCCGCGUGAGUGAAGAAGUAUUUCGGUAUGUAAAGCUCUAUCAGCAGGGAAGAAAAUGACGGUACCUGAUUAAGAAGCCCCGGCUAACUACGUGCCAGCAGCCGCGGUAAUACGUAGGGGGCAAGCGUUAUCCGGAUUUACUGGGUGUAAAGGGAGCGUAGACGGCAGCACAAGUCUGGAGUGAAAUGCCGGGGCUUAACCCCGGAACUGCUUUGGAAACUGUGCAGCUAGAGUGCAGGAGAGGUAAGUGGAAUUCCUAGUGUAGCGGUGAAAUGCGUAGAUAUUAGGAGGAACACCAGUGGCGAAGGCGGCUUACUGGACUGUAACUGACGUUGAGGCUCGAAAGCGUGGGGAGCAAACAGGAUUAGAUACCCUGGUAGUCCACGCUGUAAACGAUGAUUACUAGGUGUUGGGGGACCAAGGUCCUUCGGUGCCGUCGCAAACGCAUUAAGUAAUCCACCUGGGGAGUACGUUCGCAAGAAUGAAACUCAAAGGAAUUGACGGGGGCCCGCACAAGCGGAGGAACAUGUGGUUUAAUUCGAUGAUACGCGAGGAACCUUACCCGGGCUCAAACGCAGGAUGACGGGUCCCGAAAGGGGCCUUUCUUCGGACAUUCUGCGAGGUGCUGCAUGGUUGUCGUCAGCUCGUGCCGUGAGGUGUCGGCUUAAGUGCCAUAACGAGCGCAACCCCUGUUCACAGUUGCCAGCAGGUAAAGCUGGGGACUCUGUGGAGACUGCCGGCGCAAGCUGCGAGGAAGGCGGGGAUGACGUCAAAUCAGCACGGCCCUUACGUCCGGGGCGACACACGUGUUACAAUGGCAGGUACAGCGGGAUGCCACGGGGCGACCCGGCGCUGAACCCGAAAACCUGUCUCAGUUCGGAUUGGAGUCUGCAACCCGACUCCAUGAAGCUGGAUUCGCUAGUAAUCGCGCAUCAGCCACGGCGCGGUGAAUACGUUCCCGGGCCUUGUACACACCGCCCGUCAAGCCAUGGAAGCCGGGGGUACCUGAAGUGCGUGACCGCGAGGAGCGCCCUAGGGUAAAACCGGUGACUGGGGCU